AAAGUACAGAGAGUUUCUUACGGCCGAAGCUGCCCUCCUCGAUUUUUGUACUCAGCGGUCACCAGAUAUUUUGACACCCGGUACGCUGGUACUGGAGCCUUUUCGAAAAAGGCUUCUCCUUUUUGGAAUUCCAGCCAGAAUGCAGUCCCAGGUACGGUGCCAUAAUGGUUUUACUAAUUGUCGGCCACCUCUAGCUGCUUGCCAUGAUGAGUGGGCCAUGCGGC
This 224-nucleotide long non-coding RNA is filed under the name Elaeis guineensis (African oil palm). RNAcentral describes it as "long non-coding RNA (EGUI_LNC050214)". The record is from RNAcentral. Lineage: Eukaryota; Viridiplantae; Streptophyta; Magnoliopsida; Arecales; Arecaceae.